GCCAGGGACUGUAAAAUAAACUCCACACACUCCCAAUAGGUUGUCCUAUUCCACUAUUCAGAUAUUAUGCUUAUUUAGACUUAUUAUUUAAAUGUAUAUAAUAAUAUUCUGCCUAUUUAUUAGAGACAUGGAGCUUUAGCUUUAAAUUCCCAAACACAUUAGAUCCAAGUUGACAUUAUUUAUUUGCAUUGACUUUGUUUGCGUCAAUGCAGAGCCAAAACAGCAAAAUUCAUGUCUAGUCACAUAAAUAUUGUAAUGUGUGUAUUCUGGAUGGCUUAUUAAAGGCAUUGCUGGCAUUACUUGCUGUGUAUGCUCUGGCUGAUGAUAAUGAUUUUCAUGUUUUCCGGUGUACACUAUAACAGUUAGGAAUAAAUUCCAUUAGCUGUUACUUUCUGAGAGUUUGAAUGUCCUGUAUCUUUUAAAUGUCCUCUAUAGACCUUUGUCAAUAAAUCCAAGGUAGGAAAACCCCAUACCAUAAGAACAGUUGAUUUAAUUUCAUAAGAAUUUGGUGUGUUCUGACAAAUCCAAAUGUUUUUUGCUGUGACCCAAAAGUUGUCUCCUCAGCACUGUAUAUUGAGCUCCUGACCUGGAGGUCAAAGGUGCACAGUGGAGCUCCACUAUGUAUUCUGUAGUAUGUAUGUUUGAUGUUCUCAUGUACAGUGUUGCUGUAAUGACUGCUCAAGCUCUGAGCGUGUGUAUUGGUCAGGGACAGGUGACUCAGCAGUUAGAGACAGUGCUGAUGUGAGAGGUGUGCCCAAUUUGCUUCACUUAAAGUUCUCACUGAGCAGGAGAACAUAAUCAAGCAAGCCUAGAUGACUAAGAGGUGCCAAGCUCUCUCUGCUUUUAAGGCUCUCCUGCAUCUCCACCUGCAGGGAACUCCUGUACCUGCAGUUAAAGGUGUUCGAGUCGGAGGUUAGGAACACGCCUUGCAGCAGCACUGCGUUAUGCCUGCUGAGUGCUCAGCUAGCCCAAUGCAACCGUAAUGCUGGCUCAGAAACGAGUCGAGCUGCCUUGGCCAACGCCUGCCUCGGUUUCCAGGCUAGCAUGAUGUUGGAGGGAUUGCCAUUGACUGGAGAUCCUCCUAAACAACUGACCAAACCGAAGUAGUGGCAGGAGCACUUGGCUAAAGGGAAGGAGAGAACAGAAAAGCAAAUCUGCGUUAAGGAAGUGAAAGUGAGCAGGUCAUUUGAGCGCACUGGUGCUGGAAGAGGGAACGGAAAAGGAGCUCCAGCCCAAGGGGGAACUACAGCCAUGGCUAAAACAUCUGCUACAACUCGAGGGGUCAAAACUGUUUCAGGGGCAGCAAGAGGAGUGGCUGUGGUUAAGCGGGAUGGAAAGAGUGCAUGCUAACCAAGCCCCAAAACCCAGUUUUCUGCCAGCAAGUCCAAACAGGAGUGCAUCACGCAACACACAAAACCAACAGCGCCUUUGGAGGAGAAGUGCAAGAUCAGUGAUUCCACCGCUCCAGCAGCUCUGAACCUGGAGGCCCAUGCUCCUCGGCUAGGAUUAGCCAGAGCCCUGGCACGUUCUUCAAACUCCCACCAGUAGGCCUGCUUUCUCUACCAAGUGGUUAUCACCAUGUCUCCACAGAGACAUAUUUCGGAGAUCAAACAGCUUAAUAUCGCCGUUGUCAUAACCAGCACAUACACAGCGGUCCUGG
Molecule: long non-coding RNA, 1660 nt
Organism: Ictalurus punctatus (channel catfish)
Lineage: Eukaryota; Metazoa; Chordata; Actinopteri; Siluriformes; Ictaluridae
Exons: 6
Source: RefSeq, a predicted model, not a curated record